This 408-nucleotide ribosomal RNA is filed under the name uncultured bacterium. Its description in RNAcentral is "bacterial SSU rRNA". It matches the Rfam family "Bacterial small subunit ribosomal RNA", at positions 355 to 777 of the family's 1533-position model. The record is from RNAcentral.
UGGGGAAUAUUGGGCAAUGGGCGAAAGCCUGACCCAGCAACGCCGCGUGAAGGAAGAAGGUCUUCGGAUUGUAAACUUCUUUUAUCAGGGACGAAGUAAGUGACGGUACCUGAUGAAUAAGCCACGGCUAACUACGUGCCAGCAGCCGCGGUAAUACGUAGGUGGCAAGCGUUAUCCGGAUUUACUGGGUGUAAAGGGCGCGUAGGCGGGGAUACAAGUCAGAUGUGAAAUCUAUGGGCUUAACCCAUAAACUGCAUUUGAAACUGUAUCUCUUGAGUGUCGGAGAGGUAGACGGAAUUCCUAGUGUAGCGGUGAAAUGCGUAGAUAUUAGGAGGAACACCAGUGGCGAAGGCGGUCUACUGGACGAUAACUGACGCUGAGGCGCGAAAGCGUGGGGAGCAAACAGGA